UGGGGAAUAUUGGGCAAUGGGGGAAACCCUGACCCAGCAACGCCGCGUGAAGGAAGAAGGCUUUCGGUAUGUAAAGAUCUAUCAGCAAGGAAGAAAAUGACGGUACUUGACUAAGAAGCCCCGGCUAACUACGUGCCAGCAGCCGCGGUAAUACGUAGGGGGCAAGCGUUAUCCGGAUUUACUGGGUGUAAAGGGAGCGUAGGCGGUCUGGCAAGCCAGAAGUGAAAGCCCGGGGCUUAACCCCGGGACUGCUUUUGGAACUGUUAGACUAGAGUGUCGGAGAGGUAAGUGGAAUUCCUAGUGUAGCGGUGAAAUGCGUAGAUAUUAGGAGGAACACCAGUGGCGAAGGCGGCUUACUGGACGAUAACUGACGCUGAGGCUCGAAAGCGUGGGGAGCAAACAGGAUUAGAUACCCUGGUAGU
This 422-nucleotide ribosomal RNA is filed under the name uncultured Lachnospiraceae bacterium. Its description in RNAcentral is "bacterial SSU rRNA". It matches the Rfam family "Bacterial small subunit ribosomal RNA", at positions 355 to 794 of the family's 1533-position model. Lineage: Bacteria; Bacillati; Bacillota; Clostridia; Lachnospirales; Lachnospiraceae. The record is from RNAcentral.